GCAGAUGAAUUACGGUGAAAGCCGUAAGCCGCAAGGCAUCUGUGAAGGUGCUGCAUGGUUGUCGUCAGCUCGUGCCGUGAGGUGUCGGCUUAAGUGCCAUAACGAGCGCAACCCUUGUUGUCAGUUACUAACAGGUUCCGCUGAGGACUCUGACAAGACUGCCAUCGUAAGAUGUGAGGAAGGUGGGGAUGACGUCAAAUCAGCACGGCCCUUACGUCCGGGGCUACACACGUGUUACAAUGGGGGGUACAGAGGGCCGCUACCACGCGAGUGGAUGCCAAUCCCCAAAACCUCUCUCAGUUCGGACUGGAGUCUGCAACCCGACUCCACGAAGCUGGAUUCGCUAGUAAUCGCGCAUCAGCCACGGCGCGGUGAAUACGUUCCCGGGCCUUGUACACACCGCCCGUCAAGCCAUGGGAGCCGGGGGUACCUGAAGUGCGUAACCGCGAGGAGCGCCCUAGGGUAAAACUGGUGACUGGGGCUAAGUCGUAACAAGGUAGCCGUACCGGAAGGUGCG
RNAcentral lists this ribosomal RNA (517 nucleotides) under uncultured bacterium. Its description in RNAcentral is "bacterial SSU rRNA". It matches the Rfam family "Bacterial small subunit ribosomal RNA", at positions 988 to 1516 of the family's 1533-position model. The record is from RNAcentral.